Molecule: ribosomal RNA, 253 nt
Filed under: uncultured bacterium
Lineage: Bacteria
Description: partial 16S ribosomal RNA
Rfam family: Bacterial small subunit ribosomal RNA
Source: RNAcentral
UACGAAGGAUUCGAGCGUUAUCCGGAUUUAUUGGGUUUAAAGGGUGCGUAGGUGGAUUAAUAAGUCAGUGGUGAAAGCCCGGAGCUCAACUCUGGAACUGCCAUUGAUACUGUUAGUCUUGAGUACAGUUGAGGUGGGCGGAAUGUGUCAUGUAGCGGUGAAAUGCUUAGAUAUGACACAGAACACCGAUUGCGAAGGCAGCUCACUAAGCUGUAACUGACACUGAGGCACGAAAGUGUGGGGAUCAAACAGG